RNAcentral lists this non-coding RNA (46 nucleotides) under Schistosoma mansoni. Lineage: Eukaryota; Metazoa; Platyhelminthes; Trematoda; Strigeidida; Schistosomatidae. The record is from RNAcentral.
GCACUGCUGAAGAGUCGUACAAUAGGAUGAAAUGGCCGUCCAGUGU